UACAGAGGUCUCAAGCGUUGUUCGGAUUCAUUGGGCGUAAAGGGUGCGUAGGCGGCGCGGUAAGUCGGGUGUGAAUCUCGGAGCUUAACUCCGAACUGCAUUCGAUACUGCCGUGCUUGAGGACUGGAGAGGAGACUGGAAUUUACGGUGUAGCGGUGAAAUGCGUAGAUAUCGUAAGGAAGACCAGUGGCGAAGGCGGGUCUCGUGGACAGUUCCUGACGCUGAGGCACGAAGGUCAGGGAGCAAACGGG
Molecule: ribosomal RNA, 251 nt
Filed under: uncultured bacterium
Lineage: Bacteria
Description: partial 16S ribosomal RNA
Rfam family: Bacterial small subunit ribosomal RNA
Source: RNAcentral